AACGAACGCUGGCGGCAUGCCUAACACAUGCAAGUCGAACGCGUGUAACAAUACACGAGUGGCGGACGGGUGAGUAACGCGUGGGAACCUGCCCAGUGGUAGGGAAUAACUGCGGGAAACUGCAGCUAAUACCCUAUACGCCCUUUCGGGGUAAGGAAUUCUAUCGCCACUUGGUAGGGGCCCGGCCGGUCCGGAGUUAGUCUAGUUGGUCGGGGUACGGG
RNAcentral lists this ribosomal RNA (221 nucleotides) under uncultured bacterium. RNAcentral describes it as "partial 16S ribosomal RNA". It matches the Rfam family "Bacterial small subunit ribosomal RNA", at positions 29 to 263 of the family's 1533-position model. The record is from RNAcentral.